This 22-nucleotide microRNA is filed under the name Pteropus alecto (black flying fox). RNAcentral's name for it is "pal-miR-8908d-3p". The record is from miRBase by way of RNAcentral. Lineage: Eukaryota; Metazoa; Chordata; Mammalia; Chiroptera; Pteropodidae.
AAUUUGGGCCUUUCUGAGUAGA